UCUCAAGCUAAACACUGAAAUUCUAUGGG
Molecule: non-coding RNA, 29 nt
Filed under: Mus musculus (house mouse)
Lineage: Eukaryota; Metazoa; Chordata; Mammalia; Rodentia; Muridae
Source: RNAcentral